UACAGCCAUAUCACAUUGAAACACCAGUUCCCAUAAAAUCACCUAAGUUAAGCAAUAUCUAGGCUGGUCAGUACCUAAAUGGGUGACUGCUUGGGAAUACCAGGUGUUGUAAG
Acanthosepion pharaonis is the source of this 113-nucleotide non-coding RNA. The record is from the annotation of a GenBank genome assembly. NCBI's taxonomy places the organism in Eukaryota, Metazoa, Mollusca, Cephalopoda, Sepiida, Sepiidae.